Molecule: ribosomal RNA, 262 nt
Filed under: uncultured prokaryote
Description: partial 16S ribosomal RNA
Rfam family: Bacterial small subunit ribosomal RNA
Source: RNAcentral
UACGUAGGGUGCGAGCGUUGUCCGGAAUUACUGGGCGUAAAGAGCUCGUAGGUGGUUUGUCACGUCGUCUGUGAAAUUCCGGGGCUUAACCUCGGGCGUGCAGGCGAUACGGGCAAUACUUGAGUGCUGUAGGGGAGGCUGGAAUUCCUGGUGUAGCGGUGAAAUGCGCAGAUAUCAGUAGGAACACCAAUUGCGAAGGCAGGUCUCUGGGCAGUUACUGACGCUGAGGAGCGAAAGCAUGGGUAGCGAACAGGAUUAGAUA